AAAAUUAUAUUUUAUAUUGCUUUUAAUUAAUUAAAAGGGAAUUAGGUGAAAGUCCUAAACUAUCCCGUAGCUGUAUUAGAGGAGUUUAAAUGCAAUUAAGUCACUUGCGAGCAGGGAAGACGUAUUUAAACGAAGAUUCUUAAGUCAGAAGACCUGCCUAUAUUUUGCACCAGUA
This 175-nucleotide non-coding RNA is filed under the name Clostridium saccharoperbutylacetonicum. Lineage: Bacteria; Bacillati; Bacillota; Clostridia; Eubacteriales; Clostridiaceae. The record is from RNAcentral.